AGCUUUGUGCAGUGGCAGUAUCGUAGCCAAUGAGGUUUAUCAGAGGCGCAGUUAUUGCUAAUUGAAAACGUUUUAUCUUAUGUGCAGUGGCUAGGGAGUAGGGAGCCAAGGAUGAACAAUGUAGCCCUGGAUCCUGUCUUCAGAAACCCUCAAGAUGGGGAGAUAAACAGUUAAGGCAAUUUUAUUAAAAUUUUAUUUAAAA
RNAcentral lists this small nuclear RNA (202 nucleotides) under Neogale vison (American mink). Its description in RNAcentral is "Neovison vison (American mink) U4 spliceosomal RNA (ENSNVIG00000002044.1)". It matches the Rfam family "U4 spliceosomal RNA". From Rfam's summary of the family: U4 small nuclear RNA (U4 snRNA) is a component of the major U2-dependent spliceosome. The structure of U4 snRNA from yeast and human has been reported. U4 snRNA presents a k-turn RNA motif in the 5p-SL related to recognition of Snu13 protein. The record is from Rfam by way of RNAcentral. Lineage: Eukaryota; Metazoa; Chordata; Mammalia; Carnivora; Mustelidae.